This 460-nucleotide ribosomal RNA is filed under the name uncultured bacterium. RNAcentral's name for it is "partial 16S ribosomal RNA". It matches the Rfam family "Bacterial small subunit ribosomal RNA", at positions 338 to 795 of the family's 1533-position model. The record is from RNAcentral.
CCUACGGGAGGCAGCAGUGAGGAAUAUUGGUCAAUGGACGAGAGUCUGAACCAGCCAAGUAGCGUGAAGGAUGACUGCCCUAUGGGUUGUAAACUUCUUUUAUAUGGGAAUAAAAUGUUCCACGUGUGGGAUUUUGUAUGUACCAUAUGAAUAAGGAUCGGCUAACUCCGUGCCAGCAGCCGCGGUAAUACGGAGGAUCCGAGCGUUAUCCGGAUUUAUUGGGUUUAAAGGGAGCGUAGGUGGAUUGUUAAGUCAGUUGUGAAAGUUUGGGGCUCAACCGUAAAAUUGCAGUUGAAACUGGCAGUCUUGAGUACAGUAGCGGUGGGCGGAAUUCGUGGUGUAGCGGUGAAAUGCUUAGAUAUCACGAAGAACUCCGAUUGCGAAGGCAGUUCACUGGACUGCAACUGACACUGAGGCUCGAAAGUGUGGGUAUCAAACAGGAUUAGAUACCCCAGUAGUC